CUAGAAACGAUCAAAUCACAUAGAGCUGGUGGCGUUUGCCCAAUUUUGUUUCCAACAUGAGCAAGCCAUGCGACGGUGCCAAGACGGAGUGGCCUGAGCUGGUCGGGCGCACGAUCAAGGAGGCGGAGGAGAAGAUCAAGGCGGACCGGCCGGACCUCAAAGUCAGAAUUGUCCCGGUAGGAAGUAUUGUGACACACGACGAAGAUUUGAACCGCGUCCGUGUCUGGGUCGACAUGGUGGCGGAGGUUCCCAAGAUUGGCUAAGCUAGCUCAUAAUUAGCCGACUGGAAUAAAAGCCCAUGCAAGUCUCAACAUCGUCGAGUUAAUCGGCCAAAUAAAUAAGCAUGGUACAUUCUGAAGAAAAUAAGUGUUGUGGGUGUUUCGCGGAAAAUGUAUGGAUGUGUUAUGUAAAAUUUUUCGCGAAUACGCAUUGUUGCGUAUCUUUGCAUUGAUAAGUUGAAAAA
Aegilops tauschii subsp. strangulata is the source of this 463-nucleotide long non-coding RNA. RefSeq lists it as uncharacterized. The record is from RefSeq and is a predicted model, not a curated record. NCBI's taxonomy places the organism in Eukaryota, Viridiplantae, Streptophyta, Magnoliopsida, Poales, Poaceae.